Long non-coding RNA from Leucoraja erinaceus (little skate), 512 nucleotides. RefSeq lists it as uncharacterized. NCBI's taxonomy places the organism in Eukaryota, Metazoa, Chordata, Chondrichthyes, Rajiformes, Rajidae. The transcript has 3 exons. The record is from RefSeq and is a predicted model, not a curated record.
ACAAUGCAAUGGGGAUAAACGCGAGCCGAGAGCGGGGAGGCUGUUGUGGGUGAUUGGCCAUGCAUGCAUAUGUCAGGGAGCUGGGCACCGGAGAGGUGGCUGUACACAGCCGGAGACUGCAGCAGAUAUUCCCCCCCGGGCUGGAGUUCAGAGACAACCCCAGGGAGAUGAGAAACGUGGCCAGGUGGUUGAGAAGGCACCCUGACCAGCUCUGGGGAAACGCCCUUGUGUGUGAAUGGCCACUUCAAAAUAUUGGGCUGCAGAGCUUGAGGCAGCUGAAUGGAACAAACUUCAGGGAGAUUCUCUAGACCACAUCCUUUGAAACAAGGUUGUAAGCACAUGUGCCUUUCUCAGAUUCUGCUGCCAGGAAUAGGGAGAGCAGGAACUCUCAAGUACAACAUGACUGGAACGGGAACUAAAACACAGGUAUUCGGUGACCCUUUCCAGCAGCAGCAAUGAAGAGAAUCUAACAUAGAGGUCUGUGGCUGGCACCAGGAGCUUGGAGGAGGAGG